Molecule: ribosomal RNA, 914 nt
Filed under: uncultured archaeon
Lineage: Archaea
Description: bacterial SSU rRNA
Rfam family: Archaeal small subunit ribosomal RNA
Source: RNAcentral
UUUCGGUUGAUCCUGCCGGACCUGACUGCUAUCGGAUUGAUACUAAGCCAUGCGAGUCAUUGUAGCAAUACAAGGCAGACGGCUCAGUAACGCGUAGUCAACCUAACCUAUGGACGGGAAUAACCUCGGGAAACUGAGAAUAAUGCCCGAUAGAACACUAUGCCUGGAAUGGUUUGUGUUCCAAAUGAUUUAUCGCCGUAGGAUGGGACUGCGGCCUAUCAGUUUGUUGGUGAGGUAAUGGCCCACCAAGACUAUUACAGGUACGGGCUCUGAGAGGAGUAGCCCGGAGAUGGGUACUGAGACACGGACCCAGGCCCUAUGAGGCGCAGCAGGCGAGAAAACUUUGCAAUGUGCGAAAGCACGACAAGGUUAAUCCGAGUGGUUUGUGCUAAACAGACCUUUUGUUAGUCCUAGAAACACUAACGAAUAAGGGGUGGGCAAGUUCUGGUGUCAGCCGCCGCGGUAAAACCAGCACCUCAAGUGGUCAGGAUGAUUAUUGGGCCUAAAGCAUCCGUAGCCGGCUCUGUAAGUUUUCGGUUAAAUCUGUAUGCUCAACAUACAGGCUGCCGGGAAUACUGCAGAGCUAGGGAGUGGGAGAGGUAGACGGUACUCGGUAGGAAGGGGUAAAAUCCUUUGAUCUAUUGAUGACCACCUGUGGCGAAGGCGGUCUACCAGAACACGUCCGACGGUGAGGGAUGAAAGCUGGGGGAGCAAACCGGAUUAGAUACCCGGGUAGUCCCAGCUGUAAACUAUGCAAACUCGGUGAUGCAUUGGCUUGAUGCCAAUGCAGUGCCGCAGGGAAGCCGUUAAGUUUGCCGCCUGGGAAGUACGUACGCAAGUAUGAAACUUAAAGGAAUUGGCGGGGGAGCACCACAAGGGUGAAGCCUGCGGUUCAAUUGGAUUCAACGCCGGAA